Molecule: ribosomal RNA, 1716 nt
Filed under: Liopsetta glacialis (Arctic flounder)
Lineage: Eukaryota; Metazoa; Chordata; Actinopteri; Pleuronectiformes; Pleuronectidae
Description: 16S ribosomal RNA
Rfam family: Bacterial large subunit ribosomal RNA
Source: RNAcentral
CGCCUAUUAGCUAGCCCCACCCCUUAACACAACAAACCCCCAUUCAUAACCCCUAAAGCACGAAACACCCACGUAGCUAAACCAUUCUCCCCCCUAAGUCCAGGCGAUAAAAAAGGAAAUUUUGGAGCAAUAGAAAAAGUACCGCAAGGGAAAGCUGAAAGAGAGAUGAAAAAGCCCAGUAAAGCUUAAAGAAGCAGAGCUUAAAGCUCGUACCUUUUGCAUCAUGAUUUAGCUAGCACUUUCAAGCAAAGAGAACCUAAAGUUUGUAACCCCGAAACUGAGUGAGCUACUCCAAGACAGCCUAUUUAUAGGGCGAACCCGUCUCUGUGGCAAAAGAGUGGGAAGAGCUUUGAGUAGAGGUGACAAACCUACCGAACUUAGUUAUAGCUGGUUGCCUGUGAACUGAAUAGAAGUUCAGCCCCCUGGAUUCUCCACUCAUGCACUUUAUUUAACCCUUCAGACGCAAUGAGAAACCAGGGGUGUUAGUCAAAGGGGGUACAGCCCCUUUGAUACAAGACACAACUUUCCCAGCAGGAUAAAGAUCAUAUUCAAAUAAGGACAGAUGUUUUAGUGGGCCUAAAAGCAGCCACCUUAACAGAAAGCGUUAAAGCUCAAACAUGAAGCCCUCCCGUUAUACCGAUAACCUUAUCUUAGUCCCCCACAUUUAACAGGCCCUCCUAUGCAUCACAUAGGAACGACUAUGCUAAUAUGAGUAAUAAGAAAGUAUAACCACUUUCUCCUUGCACAUGUGUAAAUCGGAACGGACCCCCCACCGAAUCUUAACGGCCCCAAUCAAAGAGGGUAUUGGAAACCACCACAAAUUUAGGCCAGAAAAACAUCCAAUGUAAACCCGUUAACCCCACACUGGUGUGCCCAAAAGGAAAGACCAAAAGGGGGAGAAGGAACUCGGCAAACAUACCCCAAGCCUCGCCUGUUUACCAAAAACAUCGCCUCUUGCAUAACCACAGUAUAAGAGGUCCCGCCUGCCCAGUGACAACUUAGUUCAACGGCCGCGGUAUUUUGACCGUGCAAAGGUAGCGUAAUCACUUGUCUUUUAAAUGAAGACCUGUAUGAAUGGCAUAACGAGGGCUUAACUGUCUCCUUCCCCUGGUCAAUGAAAUUGAUCUCCCCGUGCAGAAGCGGGGAUAAAACCAUAAGACGAGAAGACCCUAUGGAGCUUUAGACACACAGGUGGACCAUGUCAAAUACCCCCAGCUAAGGGCCUGAACUAAAUGGAACCUGCCUUGAUGUCUUCGGUUGGGGCGACCAUGGGGAAUACAAAACCCCCACGUGGAAAGGGAGCACACCCCUAAGUUACUUCUUCUCCCGCAAGCCAGAGCAACAGCUCUAACAAGCAGAAAUUCUGACCAUACUGAUCCGGUAAAACCGAUCAACGAACCAAGUUACCCUAGGGAUAACAGCGCAAUCCCCUUUUAGAGCCCAUAUCGACAAGGGGGUUUACGACCUCGAUGUUGGAUCAGGACAUCCUAAUGGUGCAGCCGCUAUUAAGGGUUCGUUUGUUCAACGAUUAAAGUCCUACGUGAUCUGAGUUCAGACCGGAGUAAUCCAGGUCAGUUUCUAUCUAUGACAUGAUCUUUUCUAGUACGAAAGGACCGAAAAGAAGGGGCCCAUGCUAAAGGUACGCCUCACCCCCACCUAAUGAAAAAAUCUAAACUAGGCAAAAGGGCAUAACCAUUUUGCUGGAGAUAACAGCAA